GAGCGAACGCUGGCGGCAGGCCUAACACAUGCAAGUCGAACGAACUCGGGGGGAUUAGUGGCGGACGGGUGAGUAACACGUGGGAACGUGCCUUUUGGUUCGGAAUAACUCAGGGAAACGUGUGCUAAUACCGAAUGUGCCCUUCGGGGGAAAGAUUUAUCGCCAUUAGAGCGGCCCGCGUCCGAUUAGCUAGUUGGUGAGGUAACGGCUCACCAAGGCGACGAUCAGUAGCUGGUCUGAGAGGAUGACCAGCCACACUGGGACUGAGACACGGCCCAGACUCCUACGGGAGGCAGCAGUGGGGAAUCUUGCGCAAUGGGCGAAAGCCUGACGCAGCCAUGCCGCGUGAAUGAUGAAGGUCUUAGGAUUGUAAAAUUCUUUCACCGGGGACGAUAAUGACGGUACCCGCAGAAGAAGCCCCGGCUAACUACGU
RNAcentral lists this ribosomal RNA (433 nucleotides) under Brevundimonas sp. 'ARUP UnID 164'. RNAcentral's name for it is "bacterial SSU rRNA". It matches the Rfam family "Bacterial small subunit ribosomal RNA", at positions 27 to 506 of the family's 1533-position model. The record is from RNAcentral. Lineage: Bacteria; Pseudomonadati; Pseudomonadota; Alphaproteobacteria; Caulobacterales; Caulobacteraceae.